UACGUAGGGCGCAAGCGUUAUCCGGAAUUAUUUGGGCGUAAAGAGCUCGUAGGCGGCUUGUCGCGUCGUGUGUGAAAUCUCAGGCUCAACUCUGACAUUGCAUACGAGUACGGGCAGGCUUGAGUUCGGGUAGGGGAGAACUGGAAUUCCUGGUGGUAGCGGUGAAAUGCGCAGAUAUCAGGAGGAACACCGGUGGCGAAGGCGGGUCUCUGGGCCGAUACUGACGCUGAGGAGCGAAAGCGUGGGGAGCGAACAGG
This 257-nucleotide ribosomal RNA is filed under the name uncultured bacterium. Its description in RNAcentral is "partial 16S ribosomal RNA". It matches the Rfam family "Bacterial small subunit ribosomal RNA", at positions 524 to 776 of the family's 1533-position model. The record is from RNAcentral.